This 195-nucleotide unclassified non-coding RNA is filed under the name plant metagenome. Its description in RNAcentral is "partial contains small subunit ribosomal RNA, internal transcribed spacer 1, and 5.8S ribosomal RNA". The record is from RNAcentral.
GCUCCGUUGGUGAGCCAGCGGAGGGAUCAUUACCGAGUUUACAACUCCCAAACCCCUGUGAACAUACCAUUUGUUGCCUCGGCGGUGCCUGCUUCGGCAGCCCGCCAGAGGACCCAAACCCUUGAUUUUAUACAGUAUCUUCUGAGUAAAUGAUUAAAUAAAUCAAAACUUUCAACAACGGAUCUCUUGGUUCUG